UUGUAGCUGCGUUAGGGAUUGUAGUGGAAAUCCUUUUUUAAGGCUUUUUUUGCCUUAAAAAAGAUUGUAGCGAAAAGCCCGACCCUUG
RNAcentral lists this small RNA (88 nucleotides) under Flavobacterium succinicans. Its description in RNAcentral is "Flavo-1 RNA". It matches the Rfam family "Flavo-1 RNA". Lineage: Bacteria; Pseudomonadati; Bacteroidota; Flavobacteriia; Flavobacteriales; Flavobacteriaceae. The record is from RNAcentral.